UACUUGGUCUUGAUUAUCCUACUCGGAUAACUGUGGCAAUUCUAGAGCUAAUACACGCAAUAAAGCUCCGACCUUACGGGACGAGCGCAUUUAUUAGACCAAAACCAAUCGGGCUUCGGCCUGAGCUGUGGUGACUCUGAAUAACUAAGCUGAUCGCAUGGUCUUUGUACCGGCGACGCAUCUUUCAAGUGUCUGCCUUAUCAACUUUCGAUGGUAGUUUAUGUGCCUACCAUGGUUGUUACGGGUAACGGAGAAUAAGGGUUCGACUCCGGAGAGGGAGCCUGAGAAAACGGCUACCACAUCCAAGGAAGGCAGCAGGCGCGCAAAUUACCCACUCUCGGCACGAGGAGGUAGUGACGAAAAAUAACG
RNAcentral lists this ribosomal RNA (369 nucleotides) under Tardigrada environmental sample. RNAcentral's name for it is "SSU rRNA". It matches the Rfam family "Eukaryotic small subunit ribosomal RNA", at positions 117 to 482 of the family's 1831-position model. The record is from RNAcentral. Lineage: Eukaryota; Metazoa; Tardigrada.